RNAcentral lists this ribosomal RNA (253 nucleotides) under uncultured bacterium. RNAcentral describes it as "partial 16S ribosomal RNA". It matches the Rfam family "Bacterial small subunit ribosomal RNA", at positions 524 to 776 of the family's 1533-position model. The record is from RNAcentral.
GACGAACCGAGCGAACGUUAUUCGGAAUCACUGGGCUUAAAGGGCGCGUAGGCGGGCGGCCAAGUCAGGGGUGAAAGCCCCCAGCUCAACUGGGGAAGUGCCUCUGAUACUGGUCAUCUUGAGGGAGGUAGGGGCGUGCGGAACUUCCGGUGGAGCGGUGAAAUGCGUUGAUAUCAUCAGGAACACCGGUGGCGAAAGCGGCUUACUGGGUCUCUUCUGACGCUGAGGAACGAAAGCUAGGGUAGCGAACGGG